Molecule: ribosomal RNA, 443 nt
Filed under: uncultured bacterium
Lineage: Bacteria
Description: partial 16S ribosomal RNA
Rfam family: Bacterial small subunit ribosomal RNA
Source: RNAcentral
CCUACGGGUGGCAGCAGUGGGGAAUAUUGGGCAAUGGAGGCAACUCUGACCCAGCAACGCCGCGUGAAGGAAGAAGGCCUUAGGGUUGUAAACUUAUGUUGUAAAGGAAGAAAAGGAUGACGGUACUUUACAAGAAAGCCCCGGCUAACUAUGUGCCAGCAGCCGCGGUAAGACAUAGGGGGCAAGCGUUGUUCGGAAUUACUGGGGGUACAGGUAGCGUAGGCGGGAGAUUAAGUUCAGAGGGAAAGCGUUGGGCUCAACCCACGUAAUGCUUUUAAUACUGGUUUUCUAGAGUGUGGGAGAGGUAAGUGGAAUUCCUAGUGUAGCGGUGGAAUGCGUAGAUAUUAGGAGGAACAUCAGUGGCGAAGGCGGCUUACUGGACCAUAACUGACGCUGAGGCUCGAAAGCGUGGGGAGCGAACAGGAUUAGAUACCCCUGUAGUC